AAGUCGUAACAAGGUCUCCGUUGGUGAACCAGCGGAGGGAUCAUUACAGAGUUAUCUAACUCCCAAACCCAUGUGAACUUACCUUUGUUGCCUCGGCAGUAGUUGCUGGGCGAGCCUACCCGGGAACGAGCUACCCUGUAGCGAGUUACCCUGGAACGUCUUACCCUGUAACGCCUGCCGGUGGACUACUAAACUCUUGUUAUUUUUAAGUAAUCUGAGCGUCUUAUUUUAAUAAGUCAAAACUUUCAACAACGGAUCUCUUGGUUCUG
RNAcentral lists this unclassified non-coding RNA (269 nucleotides) under Bartalinia robillardoides. Its description in RNAcentral is "partial internal transcribed spacer region". The stretch from base 1 to 46 matches the Rfam family "Eukaryotic small subunit ribosomal RNA", at positions 1786 to 1831 of the family's 1831-position model. Lineage: Eukaryota; Fungi; Ascomycota; Sordariomycetes; Amphisphaeriales; Sporocadaceae. The record is from RNAcentral.